CCUACGGGUGGCUGCAGUGAGGAAUAUUGCGCAAUGGACGGAAGUCUGACGCAGCAACGCCGCGUGCGGGAUGAAGGAGCUAUGCUUCGUAAACCGCUGUAGCACGGGAAGAAAGAUCUCUUUGGGAGACAUGACUGUACCGUGAAAGUAAGCAUCGGCUAACUACGUGCCAGCAGCCGCGGUAAUACGUAGGAUGCAAGCGUUGUCCGGAUUUACUGGGUGUAAAGGGUGCGCAGGCGGGCUAAUAAGUCAGAGGUGAAAGCCUGGAGCUUAAC
RNAcentral lists this ribosomal RNA (275 nucleotides) under uncultured bacterium. RNAcentral's name for it is "partial 16S ribosomal RNA". It matches the Rfam family "Bacterial small subunit ribosomal RNA", at positions 338 to 613 of the family's 1533-position model. The record is from RNAcentral.